Molecule: long non-coding RNA, 859 nt
Organism: Diabrotica virgifera virgifera (western corn rootworm)
Lineage: Eukaryota; Metazoa; Arthropoda; Insecta; Coleoptera; Chrysomelidae
Exons: 3
Source: RefSeq, a predicted model, not a curated record
AUUCUUUCGGUGGCAGUGAAAGGUGACGGAUGUGAUUCGCAUCAGGAGGCAAAUUUGAAACCUGUGAUAUUAUGAACGUCUAAAGAAAUGAUUUUAAUAUUUAAGAAUAAAGAAACAGGAAAUAAAAUACUAAAAUCCGUUAGCCGAAACAUAACCUAUCAUAUUAAGUAAUUGUCAAAAAAAAGCGUAGAAUCUUCUUGUUUGUCUUUAGAGUGCUGCAGUAUUGCUAAGAGCAAGACAACUGCAACACGAAAGAAAUGUGCUGGCAGAUGCACUUGUAUGCAAGCCAAAAAAAAGAAGUGGAAGUGGAAGUUAUUUGACACGGAGAUGAAUGAAUGGCCAAAAGCGAGGUUAGGUUUAGUUUAGAUGUGUUUUGUUUAUUUCUUGCAAGGAAAACUAAAUCAAAAGAUGAGUGGUGGUAACAUUUGUAGCAUAGCUAUAUGUAAAAGCAACUCCAAAAUUCCUGAACCAGAUGGAAACAAAAUAAUGCUUUUGGACAUUUCCCAAAUACCUUAACAUUAUCAAACAAUAAUGGAUAAUAAAAUGUUACAAGAUAAAUGGGCCUCUAAACAUAAGAAAAUAGGUAGCAAACAUUUCCUCGUGUCUGAAUAUGUUAAUAUUAUGUUAUGUCUUUUUUAUAUUUUAACCUAAUAAUUUAAAUAGGCUUAGAUAAUAAAAUUAUAAAAUUGUAAAAAUAUCACACAAAAUUGAAAAAUGUAUCCAUUAAGAUAGUAUAACACUCUGUAAAUUUAGAUAAUAAGUAGGCUUAGAUAUUAACUUAAAAUUGUUAUUGUAAUACCAUACAAAAAAACACAAAUAGUCUGGCUAAUUGGCUCUGUCAAAGCCAUUAAUAAAAAAA